This 73-nucleotide transfer RNA is filed under the name Acinetobacter virus 133. RNAcentral's name for it is "Acinetobacter phage 133 tRNA". It matches the Rfam family "tRNA". From Rfam's summary of the family: Transfer RNA (tRNA) molecules are approximately 80 nucleotides in length. Their secondary structure includes four short double-helical elements and three loops (D, anti-codon, and T loops). Further hydrogen bonds mediate the characteristic L-shaped molecular structure. tRNAs have two regions of fundamental functional importance: the anti-codon, which is responsible for specific mRNA codon recognition, and the 3' end, to which the tRNAs corresponding amino acid is attached (by aminoacyl-tRNA synthetases). tRNAs cope with the degeneracy of the genetic code in two manners: having more than one tRNA (with a specific anti-codon) for a particular amino acid; and 'wobble' base-pairing, i.e. permitting non-standard base-pairing at the 3rd anti-codon position. The record is from Rfam by way of RNAcentral. Lineage: Duplodnaviria; Heunggongvirae; Uroviricota; Caudoviricetes; Pantevenvirales; Straboviridae.
GCGGUUGUAACUCAGAUGGUAGAGUGCUGUCCUUCCAAGUCAGAUGUCGCGAGUUCGAAUCUCGUCAACCGCU